Molecule: long non-coding RNA, 576 nt
Filed under: Musa acuminata (dwarf banana)
Lineage: Eukaryota; Viridiplantae; Streptophyta; Magnoliopsida; Zingiberales; Musaceae
Description: long non-coding RNA (MACU_LNC003011)
Source: RNAcentral
CUCCUGCAUUCCUCCCAUGCGUGUCCCAAAUGUCCAUAUCCCACUCCCUCCAUCCCACACCCUAAGCACCACCCGAAGCACCCUCCCAAGGUGAAACCCUACCCUAAGCCCAAACCUCACCCUCCAAAGCCACCAGUAGUUGGCCCUCCUAAACCUCCUCCGGUUGUCCCACCACCACUCCCACCUGUAGUUGUUCCCCAACCUCCUCCCUAUGUGAAGCCUCCGCCUGUGCCGCCCGUUGUCGGUCCACCCAAGCCUCCUCCGGUGGUGUACCCCCCCGUGCCGCCUGUUGUCGGUCCACCCAAGCCUCCUCCGGUGGUGUACCCGCCCGUUCCGCCCGUUGUCGGGCCACCCAAGCCUCCUCCGGUGGUGUACCCGCCCGUUCCGCCUGUUGUCGGGCCACCCAAGCCACCUCCGGUGGUGUACCCACCCCAGCCGUGCCCGCCGCCGCCGCCGCCGCCGCCCAAGGAGACAUGCCCGGCGGACACGCUGAAGCUGGGAGCCUGCGUCGACCUGAUCAGCGGCAUGAUACCCAUUCGGAUCGGGGCGGACGCCAAGUCGACGUGCUGCCCGGUG